CGGGGAACGUGUGGUAUAUUGGUCAUGGACGCAAGUCUGACCAGCCAUGCCGCGUGCAGGAUGACGGUCCUAUGGAUUGUAAACUGCUUUUGUACGAGAAGAAACACUGCUACGUGUAGCAGCUUGACGGUAUCGUAAGAAUAAGGAUCGGCUAACUCCGUGCCAGCAGCCGCGGUAAU
This 179-nucleotide ribosomal RNA is filed under the name uncultured freshwater bacterium. RNAcentral describes it as "partial 16S ribosomal RNA". It matches the Rfam family "Bacterial small subunit ribosomal RNA", at positions 342 to 524 of the family's 1533-position model. The record is from RNAcentral.